UACGGCGAGUGAAGCGGCAAAAGCUCAAAUUUGAAAUCUGGUACCUUUGGUGCCCGAGUUGUAAUUUGGAGAGGGCAACUUUGGGACCGUUCCUUGUCUAUGUUCCUUGGAACAGGACGUCAUAGAGGGUGAGAAUCCCGUGUGGCGAGGAGUGCGGUUCUAUGUAAAGUGCCUUCGAAGAGUCGAGUUGUUUGGGAAUGCAGCUCUAAGUGGGUGGUAAAUUCCAUCUAAAGCUAAAUAUUGGCGAGAGACCGAUAGCGAACAAGUACAGUGAUGGAAAGAUGAAAAGAACUUUGAAAAGAGAGUGAAAAAGUACGUGAAAUUGUUGAAAGGGAAGGGCAUUUGAUCAGACAUGGUGUUUUGCGCCCUCUGCUCCUUGUGGGUGGGGGAAUCUCGCAGUUCACUGGGCCAGCAUCAGUUUUGGUGGCAGGAUAAAUCCGUAGGAAUGUAACUUGCUUCGGGAAGUAUUAUAGCCUAUGGGAAUACUGCCAGCUGGGACUGAGGACUGCGACGUAAGUCAAGGAUGCUGGCAUAAUGGUUAUAUGCCGCCCGUCUUGA
RNAcentral lists this ribosomal RNA (558 nucleotides) under Saccharomyces sp. RNAcentral describes it as "partial large subunit ribosomal RNA". It matches the Rfam family "Eukaryotic large subunit ribosomal RNA", at positions 85 to 657 of the family's 3401-position model. Lineage: Eukaryota; Fungi; Ascomycota; Saccharomycetes; Saccharomycetales; Saccharomycetaceae. The record is from RNAcentral.